RNAcentral lists this long non-coding RNA (620 nucleotides) under Mytilus galloprovincialis (Mediterranean mussel). Lineage: Eukaryota; Metazoa; Mollusca; Bivalvia; Mytilida; Mytilidae. The record is from RNAcentral.
GUUCUGUAUUCUUCAUCUCCUCUCUUUUUAAACAUGUUUUAUUGUAUUUAUAUCUUCUUUUUGCUAUUCGAAAGCACCGCCUUUUUUCCCAACAUAUUUGGUCAAACCAAGGUUUAAUAACUUUUUUUCGACAUUUCUUUUCAUGUCGUUUAUAAGUGAAAGAUCCAAACACCUUUUCGGCUGAAUCCAGCAUUAAACCAUUUACAGAUUCAACUAUUUUAUUAAUAUUUUCUUGAGCCAGUAUACUGGUAUUCAACAUAGUUAAAUCAUUAUUUAAUUGAUCGAUUUUAUUUCUAUCGAUAUUUCUCAAAAAUUCGGCUUCUUUUUCACAAUCCCAUUUUUUGAAGCCUUUUUCUUUCAUGGCAUGUAAAAUCGUUUAUUAAAAUGUCAUCGCAUUCGACGAUGUUAUCAAUCGAGUUGAAGACUAGCUUACAGUUCAGAGGCGAAUGAACAUCGGAAAAAAGAGCAGAAAAAUCAAGUACAGACAUAUUUACAACACAUGAUAACAAAUUAUAUGUACAAAUAAAAUAGUCAACCACACUUGACUGGCGACAUGUAAAUAAGCCUUCUUUAUCACCUUCAACCCUUCCGUUUAAAAUAAACAGAUUGUUAUUUCUGCA